GAUGAACGCUAGCUACAGGCUUAACACAUGCAAGUCGCGGGGCAGCAUGGGGGUUGCUUGCCAUCCCCGAUGGCGACCGGCGCACGGGUGAGUAACGCGUAUUCAACCUGCCCUUCACCACGGGAUAACCCGGCGAAAGUCGGACUAAUACCGUAUGUUGUCCAUUGACGGCAUCCGAUUUGGACGAAAGGCUUGGCGGUGAGGGAUGGGGAUGCGUCCGAUUAGCCAGACGGCGGGGUAACGGCCCACCGUGGCUACGAUCGGUAGGGGUUCUGAGAGGAAGGUCCCCCACACUGGAACUGAGACACGGUCCAGACUCCUACGGGAGGCAGCAGUGAGGAAUAUUGGUCAAUGGGCGUAAGCCUGAACCUGCCAAGUAGCGUGCAGGAUGACGGCCCUAUGGGUUGUAAACUGCUUUUAUGCGGGGAUAAAGUGGCCCACGUGUGGGCUUUUGCAGGUACCGCAUGAAUAAGGACCGGCUAAUUCCGUG
This 490-nucleotide ribosomal RNA is filed under the name uncultured bacterium. RNAcentral describes it as "partial 16S ribosomal RNA". It matches the Rfam family "Bacterial small subunit ribosomal RNA", at positions 28 to 507 of the family's 1533-position model. The record is from RNAcentral.